This 165-nucleotide ribosomal RNA is filed under the name uncultured bacterium. Its description in RNAcentral is "partial 16S rRNA". It matches the Rfam family "Bacterial small subunit ribosomal RNA", at positions 355 to 511 of the family's 1533-position model. The record is from RNAcentral.
UAGGGAAUCUUCCACAAUGGACGCAAGUCUGAUGGAGCAACGCCGCGUGAGUGAAGAAGAUCUUCGGAUCGUAAAACUCUGUUGUUAGAGAAGAACACGAGUGAGAGUGGAAAGUUCACACAGUGACGGUAACUUACCAGAAAGGGACGGCUAACUACGUGCCAG